This 467-nucleotide ribosomal RNA is filed under the name uncultured bacterium. Its description in RNAcentral is "partial 16S ribosomal RNA". It matches the Rfam family "Bacterial small subunit ribosomal RNA", at positions 28 to 506 of the family's 1533-position model. The record is from RNAcentral.
GACGAACGCUGGCGGCGUGCUUAACACAUGCAAGUCGAACGGAAAGGCCCUGCUUUUGUGGGGUGCUCGAGUGGCGAACGGGUGAGUAGCACGUGAGUAACCUGCCCUUGACUUUGGGAUAACUUCAGGAAACUGGGGCUAAUACCGGAUAGGAGCUCCUGCUGCAUGGUGGGGGUUGGAAAGUUUCGGCGGUUGGGGAUGGACUCGCGGCUUAUCAGCUUGUUGGUGGGGUAGUGGCUUACCAAGGCUUUGACGGGUAGCCGGCCUGAGAGGGUGACCGGCCACAUUGGGACUGAGAUACGGCCCAGACUCCUACGGGAGGCAGCAGUGGGGAAUAUUGCACAAUGGGCGGAAGCCAGAUGCAGCAACGCCGCGUGCGGGAUGACGGCCUUCGGGUUGUAAACCGCUUUCGCCUGUGACGAAGCGUGAGUGACGGUAAUGGGUAAAGAAGCACCGGCUAACUACGU